AAUGAAUCUGUCCUUUGCUGUGGUGCCAUUCCUACAAUAUUCAUAUUUGGACAUUGAGCCAACUCUAACUCUGAGUUACCACCAACUGAUCCACCCACCUGCCUAAAACUUCCAGGCCAAUGCAAGCUAACAUCAACAUCUUCCAUGAAUACUGGCAUCCCAUAAUAGCCUUGCACAAAUCUAGCUCCACCUCUUGUACCUGGAGGCUUUUGUGAUGGUAUGAUAUUCUGAUGCAUUGCAGAAUGAGCUUUGAUCCCAAGGGACCUAAAUGCAGAACCUUGAAGUGGCAGAGAUGCCAAGCUUGCGUACCUAUCUGAAAAUAUUCCCAUACGCAUUGCACGCUUAGCCAUUGUUCGUUCCCUCUUAUGCGCAUUUUGGUGGCCUCCA
RNAcentral lists this unclassified non-coding RNA (387 nucleotides) under Hevea brasiliensis (rubber tree). Lineage: Eukaryota; Viridiplantae; Streptophyta; Magnoliopsida; Malpighiales; Euphorbiaceae. The record is from RNAcentral.